This 281-nucleotide ribosomal RNA is filed under the name Enterobacter chengduensis. Its description in RNAcentral is "partial 16S ribosomal RNA". It matches the Rfam family "Bacterial small subunit ribosomal RNA", at positions 1 to 278 of the family's 1533-position model. The record is from RNAcentral. Lineage: Bacteria; Pseudomonadati; Pseudomonadota; Gammaproteobacteria; Enterobacterales; Enterobacteriaceae.
AAAUUGAAGAGUUUGAUCAUGGCUCAGAUUGAACGCUGGCGGCAGGCCUAACACAUGCAAGUCGAGCGGUAGCACAGAGGAGCUUGCUCCUCGGGUGACGAGCGGCGGACGGGUGAGUAAUGUCUGGGAAACUGCCUGAUGGAGGGGGAUAACUACUGGAAACGGUAGCUAAUACCGCAUAACGUCGCAAGACCAAAGAGGGGGACCUUCGGGCCUCUUGCCAUCAGAUGUGCCCAGAUGGGAUUAGCUAGUAGGUGGGGUAACGGCUCACCUAGGCGACG